GAUGAACGCUGGCGGCGUGCCUAAUACAUGCAAGUCGAGCGAACAGACGAGGAGCUUGCUCCUCUCACGUUAGCGGCGGACGGGUGAGUAACACGUGGAUAACCUCCCUAUCUGACUGGGAUAACUUCGGGAAACCGGAGCUAAUACCGGAUAAUAUAUUGCACCGCAUGGUUCAAUAGUGAAAGACGGUUUUGUUGUCACUUCUAGAUGCUUCCCCGCCGCAUUAGCUAGUUGGUAAGUUAACGGCUUACCAAGGCGACGAUGCGUAGCCGACCUGAGAGAGUGGUCGGCCACAUGGGAAGUGAGACACGGUCCAGACUCCUAAGGGAGGCAGCAGUAGGGAAUCUUCCGCAAUGGGCGAAAGCCUGACGGAGCAAGGGCGCGUGAGUGAUGAAGGUCUUCGGAGCGGAAAACUCUGUUAUUAGGGAAGAACAAAUGUGGAAGUAACUAUGCACGGAUUGACGGUACCUGAUCAGAAAGCAACGGCUAACUACGUG
Molecule: ribosomal RNA, 497 nt
Filed under: uncultured bacterium
Lineage: Bacteria
Description: partial 16S ribosomal RNA
Rfam family: Bacterial small subunit ribosomal RNA
Source: RNAcentral